GGUUUGUCGCGUUGUUCGUGAAAUCUCACGGCUUAACUGUGAGCGUGCGGGCGAUACGGGCAGACUUGAGUACUGCAGGGGAGACUGGAAUUCCUGGUGUAGCGGUGGAAUGCGCAGAUAUCAGGAGGAACACCGGUGGCGAAGGCGGGUCUCUGGGCAGUAACUGACGCUGAGGAGCGAAAGCGUGGGGAGCGAACAGGAUUAGAUACCCUGGUAGUCCACGCCGUAAACGGUGGGUACUAGGUGUGGGUUUCCUUCCUUGGGAUCCGUGCCGUAGCUAACGCAUUAAGUACCCCGCCUGGGGAGUACGGCCGCAAGGCUAAAACUCAAAGAAAUUGACGGGGGCCCGCACAAGCGGCGGAGCAUGUGGAUUAAUUCGAUGCAACGCGAAGAACCUUACCUGGGUUUGACAUGCACAGGACGCCGGCAGAGAUGUCGGUUCCCUUGUGGCCUGUGUGCAGGUGGUGCAUGGCUGUCGUCAGCUCGUGUCGUGAGAUGUUGGGUUAAGUCCCGCAACGAGCGCAACCCUUGUCUCAUGUUGCCAGCGGGUAAUGCCGGGGACUCGUGAGAGACUGCCGGGGUCAACUCGGAGGAAGGUGGGGAUGACGUCAAGUCAUCAUGCCCCUUAUGUCCAGGGCUUCACACAUGCUACAAUGGCCGGUACAAAGGGCUGCGAUGCCGCGAGGUUAAGCGAAUCCUUUUAAAGCCGGUCUCAGUUCGGAUCGGGGUCUGCAACUCGACCCCGUGAAGUCGGAGUCGCUAGU
This 764-nucleotide ribosomal RNA is filed under the name uncultured bacterium. RNAcentral describes it as "bacterial SSU rRNA". It matches the Rfam family "Bacterial small subunit ribosomal RNA", at positions 577 to 1339 of the family's 1533-position model. The record is from RNAcentral.